Molecule: ribosomal RNA, 253 nt
Filed under: uncultured bacterium
Lineage: Bacteria
Description: partial 16S ribosomal RNA
Rfam family: Bacterial small subunit ribosomal RNA
Source: RNAcentral
UACGUAGGUGGCAAGCGUUAUCCGGAUUUACUGGGUGUAAAGGGCGUGUAGGCGGGAAAGCAAGUCAGAUGUGAAAACCACGGGCUCAACCUGUGGCCUGCAUUUGAAACUGUUUUUCUUGAGUACUGGAGAGGCAGACGGAAUUCCUCGUGUAGCGGUGAAAUGCGUAGAUAUGAGGAGGAACACCAGUGGCGAAGGCGGCCUGCUGGACAGCAACUGACGCUGAGGCGCGAAAGCGUGGGGAGCAAACAGG